UUAAAGGGGUCGUCCACGUUUGCAACCCAGCAGUGAACGAGGAGAACGUACAGGUCUCCGGGGAAGCCGGCGGCCAGGCUCCUCUUAAACAGAAAGCAACAAUCGUGCAUUCAGUAAAUGUUUCUGAGCAUCUGCCGCGCAGCCUGAGGACAGAAGUCAACCUGGGGGUCAGAGGAGAUCCCUGGACGAGAUACGAGAUGAGAAAUGAAGUUUUGGGUAAGACUUUUCAAGAAGGCCACAAAAGUUCCCAUAAUCUUUCUCAUCUUGAAACCAUUGAGCAUCUGGCUGUGAAGUGAGGCUCAGGCCCUUGGCAAAUCCCAAGAUGAACCAUCAUCUCUUCCCGUCUCGUAAUUUACACAGGUCCCGAAGCCUUACAGAUAUGCAAAUAAGCUGAUAACAAUUUGAAAAAACACAAAACAAGAAUCUCCAAUUAUGGGAGCAAAGCCACCGGCUUCUCAAGUUCCUGCCUCACUGAGGAAAUGGAUUUGAAAUGUCAAGGAGGAAAUGAGGAGGUCAACUUUCAUGUCUAUUUUAGUUUUCCAGUGAAGUCCCAUUUCCUUUUGACUUUGUAUAAACAAAGAAAGGACAGUUGUUAGUUUGGUUAUUAUAGAUAACCUAUGUCUUUAAAGUAAAUGUAGUUUAUCUAAAUGGGGAUUUAAUAAAUGACUAAAUAUUUUCAAAAUAUAACCGCUCGUUAAUAACGAGAAUAACAACAGAUAUUUUAUUGAGCAAUUACUAUGUAACAGGCCCUUACUGGGCACUUAGCAUACACUAUAAAUACUGUUGACUGGCUAUGUCUAUUUUAC
Long non-coding RNA from Equus caballus (horse), 806 nucleotides. NCBI's taxonomy places the organism in Eukaryota, Metazoa, Chordata, Mammalia, Perissodactyla, Equidae. The record is from Ensembl.